Molecule: ribosomal RNA, 468 nt
Filed under: uncultured bacterium
Lineage: Bacteria
Description: partial 16S ribosomal RNA
Rfam family: Bacterial small subunit ribosomal RNA
Source: RNAcentral
GACGAACGCUGGCGGCGUGCUUAACACAUGCAAGUCGAACGGAAAGGCCCUGCUUUUGUGGGGUGCUCGAGUGGCGAACGGGUGAGUAACACGUGAGUAACCUGCCCUUGACUUUGGGAUAACUUCAGGAAACUGGGGCUAAUACCGGAUAGGAGCUCCUGCUGCAUGGUGGGGGUUGGAAAGUUUCGGCGGUUGGGGAUGGACUCGCGGCUUAUCAGCUUGUUGGUGGGGUAGUGGCUUACCAAGGCUUUGACGGGUAGCCGGCCUGAGAGGGUGACCGGCCACCAUGGGACUGCGAUACGGCCCAGACUCCUACGGGAGGCAGCAGUGGGGAAUAUUGCACAAUGGGAGGAAGCCUGAUGCAGCAACGCCGCGUGCGGGAUGACGGCCUUCGGGUUGUAAACCGCUUCCGCCUGUGACGAAGCGGGAGUGACGGUAAUGGGUAAAGAAGCACCGGCUAACUACGUG